Molecule: long non-coding RNA, 1339 nt
Organism: Pleuronectes platessa (European plaice)
Lineage: Eukaryota; Metazoa; Chordata; Actinopteri; Pleuronectiformes; Pleuronectidae
Exons: 2
Source: RefSeq, a predicted model, not a curated record
GGAAGAGGAUGAGCUGUCAAAUGGCUAUUUUUUUACAAGUAAGUUCAUAAACUGUUUCAAGUAUCAACACAUAAGAAGCCAGACCUCCAAUUGAACCAGUCCAUCGCCACACCUUGGUCUUCAACCGUUAAAUAAAUACCAGCAUUUACCGCCCAGGGAUUGAUUGGUUGGAGGCCGCACAUGCCUGUGUUAGUGGUGUCAGCCGGAGCAAGGGCAGGCACGCUGUUAAACAAGUGCUUCAUGACACAUUCAUGAACACAGGCAGAGAGGGGAGGGAAGGGGACCCAUUGCUUUAACCUUUCACCCAUUUCUCCCACCCUCUCUGCAAACUGUGGGAAUCCAGGGAAGCCAGUUAACUUCAGUGAAACCUGCAGCCUGGUUAAAGCAGAAGAAGAAGACAAUGGAAAACCAUAACCUCUUCUCUCUCCGUGUACUUGAGCGGUGGAUUCAAGCACCAAUUAUUUGUGCAUGAUGUGGCUGUAAUCAAAUGCGCUAAAGGAUAAUGUCUUGAAUUGCCUUUUCUGUGCAUGACUAGUUGCUGACAUGGCAAAACGAGCCCCAAAGACAUGACAUAACAAGCUCUGCCAGGCCUGUGACUUCUGCUGAAUAGUUUGUAAGCACACACGCAAGAUGCACAAACUGUUCUUUCUAAAUGUCUGCAGUCACCGUGUUACCGGGGGUUUGGAUAUCACCAUCAUCACUGCAGGAUGAUUGCGUGUGUGUGUGUGCGUGUGCGUGUGUGUGUGUGUUUGUGUACAAGUGUCUGUGCGAGUUGCCUAGCACCUGGUAACUGUAUAGGCCGAAACCUUAUCAUCCUGCCUUUCAAAGGCUCUCACUGUGCUGGAUUCUUGCUGUGGUCUCUCGCUGGUGUGGCAAUAAGGCGACAAAGUCUGCCAGAAGAAAAAUUGGGAGCACUGUGUUUUUAAUGGCAGUGACACACCGUAGGAAUCCUGAACGCUUGCAUGGUUCAGGUUUAUAUGCUCCAACGCUCUGGGUGACCUGUCCACUUUGUGCAGAUCAAAGAUCUCGAAAAACCAGUUUGCUCUGGUUGUCCUGGCCAGUGCACAUUGUGCAUGUCUAAACAGUGUCCUUCUAUUGUUUUGUUUUUUUCUGAUGAUUAUUGACCAUCAUUUCUCAACCUGUCUAACUUUUACAAGUUCUCUUCUUUAUUAUUUGUUUCCCUUUCUCCUUUUGCAAAUCUUUUGGGGUUUCCUAAAUUGUGAGGAGGUUCCAAGUGUAAUAAUCUGUUCACAUUUGCUCAAUUCUGCUCUUCAGUUUUGAUGCUGUUGCAUUAUAUGUUCAAAUAAAAUGACAAAUAAAAAACACACGCCACCUGCAA